GAGCUGAUCUGAACCGCUGCUAAGGACUGAGACGCGCCUCGAGCUGUCACUUGCCGCCUGGAGUUCGUUGGGAAAGUUGAAAAAGCCUAGUCCUGUUUAGGAAAUCUAUCCAGCUGUGUAUAUCCUUUUUGCUUUUAGGGUAUGAAGCUUAGGAAGGAUAAGAAAAACAAGAUCACACAGCUGGCAAGUGACACAAUUUAUAACUCCAGAACGAGAAUUUGCAGUUGUUGCGCCAGAUGCCCUGUAGCGUGGCUCGUCUGGGUUCAGGAAAGUAUAGCUCCACUUUAGUGUUCUUAUGGAUCAUCGACUGUACCCAAGACCAGAAUGGAAACAACUAGAUCAUCUUCAACUGAAGAAUGGAGACAGAAACGUGAUACAGAAGUCUGAUCCUUUGAACACGUGAAGAGUUCAUAGCAGUCCACAUAGAAAAGAUGAAGGAUCCAGAGAGACAUUGACAAUGGAGAUGAAUGCAACAUUCACAGGAGAGAGCUGUGUCAACAGAGGCAUCAAUUCCCCUAAAACUGAAGGUAUAAAUGGCUGUGAGCCAGCACCUGGGUGCUGGAAAUCAAACCCUCUCGAAGAGCAGCCAGUGCUCUUACCUGCUGAGACAUCUCUCCAACUCUCCCCUUUCUUUUGAAGCCGGCCCCUACUGAAUCUAGAACUCCUUGAUUGGCUAGCAGGCAG
RNAcentral lists this long non-coding RNA (684 nucleotides) under Mus caroli (Ryukyu mouse). RNAcentral's name for it is "lncRNA (MGP_CAROLIEiJ_G0013725.1)". The record is from RNAcentral. Lineage: Eukaryota; Metazoa; Chordata; Mammalia; Rodentia; Muridae.